UUCAAUCGAGAAGAGGGGCUAAGUAAAGUAAGGUCCGUCCAACAAGGGUAAGCUUCAAGUAGACAAGAAUUAUACAUUAAAAAAAACGUUCUCUUUGUAAGAGUUCCUUUCUUACGUCAACAAAAGUGAGACACUAUACACUCUUAACUUCAUCCCUACUUCCAAGCAUCUCAAGAGACGGUCCUUUACAUAAAGCCAUCGCUUUUCAUGACCUUUAAUGCCUUCUAGAUAGAUAGAUGCUCACCGACCAAUUCACCUGAAAAACGAUCAGACAGACGUCACAGACCCUAUAACCAUUAUCAACCAAUACAUUUUUGUUGUGCUUAAUAGAUCUGUGUCUGUGCUCACGCUCACUGUCAAAAGAAUCAUAUAGCUCAUUCAUG
Molecule: long non-coding RNA, 383 nt
Filed under: Brassica rapa (field mustard)
Lineage: Eukaryota; Viridiplantae; Streptophyta; Magnoliopsida; Brassicales; Brassicaceae
Description: long non-coding RNA (BRAP_LNC007819)
Source: RNAcentral